This 1954-nucleotide long non-coding RNA is filed under the name Homo sapiens (human). RNAcentral's name for it is "HSALNT0192898". Lineage: Eukaryota; Metazoa; Chordata; Mammalia; Primates; Hominidae. The record is from RNAcentral.
CGAGCGCAGCGCCGGUAGGCUGGCACUGCUGGGGGACCCAGCGCACCCUCCUCAGCUGCUGGCCCGGUUGCUAAACCCUGCUGGUCCGGGUGCUAAGCUCCUCAUUGCCCAGGGAGGCGGGGCCCGCCAAACCCACGCCAACCCGGAACUCUAGCUGGCCCGCAAGGGCUACGCGCAGCCCCGGUUCCUGCCCGUGCCUCUCCCUCCGCACUUCCCCUCAGGCUGAGGGAGCUGGCUCCUGCCUCGGCCAUCCCAGGAAGAGGCUCCCACAGUGCAGCGACGGGCUGAAGGGCUCCUCAGGCGCGGCCAGAGUGGGCGCCCAGGCCGAGGAGGCGCCAAGAGCGAGCGAGGGCUGCGACGACUGCCAGCAUGCUGUCACCUCUCACUAUGACUGUCUGGGAUCUGCUUUAUAAAUAAACAAGCUUCCUACAAUUAUCCUCAUCUCAUGGAAAAACUAGACAGAGGAAAAGAAAAGAGGCAAAUGGAGCUUCCUUUGCUAAGAGCUCAAAUAACUCUCCUCUACAUAGUCUUCUUCAAACAAAAACACAAAGCUAAUUUUCCAUUUACUCUUUGAGAGUUCCACAGAAAAACAAAAAAACCAAGUGACAUUAAUUGAUACUGGACACAAUCUGUGAUAUCAGUGAUUAAGUUGGAGUUAUGCAAGUGGAUCAUUUGCCACCAACCAGAAAAUAAGGAUUCCUUUCAAGUGGAUGUGGGAUAUGAAUAUUUUUUGGCACAAGACAGUAGUUCAAUUGGUAAAAAUUUCAUCAAUGGUGACUUUGGAGAAUGUCAUGUUGCAGGUGAAUGUCCUAACCAGGACAAUAUUCAUGCAUUUGAAAAAUCCAGCGUGAGAAACAUAGAAAGGAAGAAGACCAUCACCAGAGAUGAAUGGACAUUUGAUAUUACCAAGAAUAUGCAUAAUGACUUGGAAGUUACCAUUUGAACAAUUGACAUUCUUGAGCAUCUUAGGUUGGAUUUCCUAGGAACAGAACCUGUGACAGGAAUUCAGGUGGAGCUGUUUUAGGCUGGGUGCUGUGGCCCAGGCCUGGAAUCCCAGCACUUCAGAAGGCCAAGGCAGGAGAAUCGCUUGAGCCCAGGAGUUCAAGAGCAGCCUGGGCAACAUGUUGAAACAUCAUCUCUAUACAAAUAUACGCACAAAAAUUAGCUGGACAUGGUGGUGUGCACCUGUAGUCCUAACUACUCAGGAAGCUGUGGUGGAAGAAUCACUUGAGCCCAGGAGGUCGAGCCUGCAAUAAGCUGUGAUUGCACCACUGCACUCCAGCGUGGAUGACAGAGCAAGACACCCUGUCUCAAAAAAAAGACUAUACAACAGAGCUCUGAAAAAGAUCACACUUUCAGAACGGGGCCAUAGCAGGCAUAAAAGCAACAAUUUAUCAAACUGCCUGAGGGAAUGAUGUAAAAAAUGCUCAUCAAGAAUAUCCAUCUGGACAGGACAAAAAAUGACGCUGAGAGGACUUUGGAGAGUUUCUACCCAGUUUUCCUAAAUUCCAGGAAGUUUUCUUAGUAGAAAUGAUGAUGACUGAAAGCUACUUCAUUUCUGGGAUACUUGAGACUUCUGGUCUGCAUAUGUGACUGUAGGAAGAAAUAAAUAAUUUAUGUUUUGGAAAAACCCUAAUUACCUAAAGAUGACUCUCAUGGAGUAAAAGGGAAAUGGGCAUUUGUCUUGUUUUCCCAAACUCUUUCAGUACUCAGUGAAUAAAAAUUAAGGUAACAACAUGAAUUCAGAAGGGCUUCUUAUUUGAGCUCUCUUACCUGUGCAGACUUAUAUUAUUGUGUGUGUGACAGGCAUUUUCCUUAUUUUAUUUUAUACAAUGUGUGUGAAUAAAUUUUUAUACAACUUCUUUUAUUAAAGGCAGAGAAUGCUUCAGCUUACCUUUGUAUUAUCUACAUUUUGGAAACAGAAUGAAUAUUCAAAUGUUGAAUUAGCUCGAAU